UCUUUGCAUCUGAUUUACCCACAUAUCGUCAAUUGAGAUCUCUGAAAUGCUUUUUGUCUUAGCUGGAGAGGUUUGAAUUCAUGCUCUUCACGGUGGAUCCGGUACAGACAAAUAGAACUAAUCAUCCUCCGAUCGCCGUCGUCGUCUUCAAUUUCUGGAAAGAUAUUGGGCAGAUAUCGUAGACUUGUUAAGUAUUCAUGUAGAAGUAAUUAUAUGUAAGCAAUCUGUGAGUGAUAGGAGCCGUGAGGAGUUUGUGGCUUUGGCAUGGGAAUUGAAGUGAUUGCAAGAACUGAGAUUUUGAAUCUGAUUUCAUCAGCCUUGGGAAGUUCAGGUCUUGGAGAGAGAGACGUCGAACAAAAAAUGCGGGAGAGAAGUUCAGGUAAGAGAACGAUUAACGCUGUUAUUCAACUAUUAGUGCACGGGACUUGGUUCACUUGAACAAGGUGCAUUGUAUCCACUCCGGCAAAUUAAUUACAUUGUGUUUAACAAUCUUGAAGCUAGUUUCGGUAAAAUGAUGACGGAAUCAUAUCAUAACUAAAAUUGUACUGCACUUGUCUGAAUAAUGAGGCUAUAACGUGGAUCAUAG
Fragaria vesca subsp. vesca is the source of this 586-nucleotide RNA transcript. RefSeq lists it as uncharacterized. The transcript is spliced from 2 exons. The record is from RefSeq and is a predicted model, not a curated record. Lineage: Eukaryota; Viridiplantae; Streptophyta; Magnoliopsida; Rosales; Rosaceae.